Long non-coding RNA from Oncorhynchus tshawytscha (Chinook salmon), 1792 nucleotides. RefSeq lists it as uncharacterized. Lineage: Eukaryota; Metazoa; Chordata; Actinopteri; Salmoniformes; Salmonidae. The record is from RefSeq and is a predicted model, not a curated record. The transcript has 3 exons.
ACGGACCGGAAACUGUGGUCCGACUGAAAAAACAGUUCCCUUUGGAAACAACGAAACGUUGCCUCACUUGUGCAUCAUUUCCAUAUAUAUAGUUCAAGCGUGUUAGCGUUAAAUUAAUCAGCAAUUUUGUGUAAAUCUGACUUGCCUUUCUCGUCACGCUUGGAGAACAAAGUUCCAUAACUUUAGUCAACGUUUGGUAUGGAAUCACGGGUGUAUUUGGGACACAUUCAGAUAGAUCCCUCUCGACUUUGUUCCGUUUGUGUUUUGCAACAUAAUUGGCGUAAUCUGUUGCAAUUUCUGAUCUCAGGCUAACAUCCUCCUGUCCUCGGCUGGAUUUCUCAAAAGCAUCAUAGUACUAAAAUAAUCUUAAUUCCAUUGAAAUUAAAUGAACGAAAGAUGAUUGUAGUGCAACGAAAACAAGCUCUGGUCUGGGCAUCAUUUCUGCCACCUGUAGGAGGAGGUUGAAGCUGAGUCUUUCUCUCUGUCACCCAUGAAGUGCUCUUCUCCUCACCUACCCCCAACAACUGUACAACAGCCAACAUGCCCCGUUUCCUACUGUCGAAGCCAAGAGGAGAAGACCGUCAUGACGACAGAAGAGGUUCCCCUACAGGUACACUGCUGUCUGCCGUGGCCUCCCAGGUGUCCCAUCCGGAGAACAUGGAAGAGAACACGCCGAUUAUUUUACGAAAGGACGUACUCCGCUCUGCCACCAAGGCAUUCAGCUGGAAACUAUUCAACCUCAGAGGUUCAAUGUGAGGGGUCAGUCGACCAACAUGGUUAAACACAGGAGUUCAUUCGGCUGUUGAUGGCAGCCAUCCAAGACUGUUGUUUGUUCCAGGGGCCAGACCACUGCAAAAGCCUAGUAUUGCACUAGUAUUGUAAGAUCGCACUGUUUAUAUGUUCAAAUAUGACACUUUCUAUCUAAUCCUAGAACACUGUCCUGUUGUAUCACUUUCAGUGUAUUCCAAGCAGAGUGAACUAUAAGGUCUUAUAUGGUAUAUUACUACAUAGAUUGGUGGCCUCUUAUGUGCUUUCCAUAGUAAAAACCCCCCUUAUUUUAAUAAGGUGGUAUUAACUUGUACCAUGUUUUAGUUUCAGCCUGGGAUAAUGUACAGGCUGGUGGAGAGCAUGACCAGUGUCUGAGUGGUGAGAUAUGGCCCCACUUCCUGUCCAGGAGAACGUUUGACAUGAUCUGUGGUCUUCCCUCUGCUCCUGUGGCCCUGGACGAGAUCACACCAGGAAAUACGAGCCAGGCUGGAGAAGGCAUGUGACAUGUUCAUGUGUUCUUUGCCGUAUAUAUUGGUUUGUGUUUGUAGCCUGAGCCCUGGGCUUGUAUUCACAUAGCUUCUCAGACUAGGAGUUCUGAUCUUGGAUCAGGUCCUUCCUGUACAUACAGGUAACUGCAAAAAUAAAGGAAAUGCCAAUAAUUAGUGUCUUAUUAGGGCGUUAGGCCACCACGAGCCAGAACAGCUUCAGUGUACCUUGGCAUAGAUUCUACAAGUGUCUGGAACUCUGUUGGAGGGAUACAACACCAUUCUUCCAUGAGAAAUUCCAUCAUUUGGUGUUUUGUUGAUUGUGGUGGAAAAUGCUGUCUCAGGCUCUGCUCCAGAAUCUUCCAUAUGUGUUCAAUUGGGUUGAGAUCUGGUGACUGAGACGGACACAUCAUAUGGCUUACAUUGUUUUCAUGUUUGUUGGUUUGGCAAUGCCACUGUCAGCCUGAGAAAUAUGCUGAGAAGGAUUAUUACCACAGCAAGCAAGGUACUUGGAGUCAAACAGACAGGUCUGGAUGAGA